GUGGGGAAUAUUGGACAAUGGGCGCAAGCCUGAUCCAGCCAUGCCGCGUGAGUGAUGAAUGCCUUAGGGUUGUAAAGCUCUUUCGUCAGGGAAGAUAAUGACGGUACCUGAAGAAGAAGCCCCGGCUAACUUCGUGCCAGCAGCCGCGGUAAUACGAAGGGGGCUAGCGUUGCUCGGAAUCACUGGGCGUAAAGCGCACGUAGGCGGCUUUCUAAGUCAGGGGUGAAAUCCUGGAGCUCAACUCCAGAACUGCCUUUGAUAGUGGAGAGCUUGAGUUCGGGAGAGGUGAGUGGAACUGCGAGUGUAGAGGUGAAAUUCGUAGAUAUUCGCAAGAACACCAGUGGCGAAGGCGGCUCACUGGCCCGAUACUGACGCUGAGGUGCGAAAGCGUGGGGAGCAAACAGGAUUAGAUACCCUAGUAGUCC
This 425-nucleotide ribosomal RNA is filed under the name uncultured bacterium. RNAcentral describes it as "partial 16S ribosomal RNA". It matches the Rfam family "Bacterial small subunit ribosomal RNA", at positions 354 to 796 of the family's 1533-position model. The record is from RNAcentral.